AUGUGGAAGAAGCAUGAGCAGUUAAAUGUUGGAUCAGAGGAGAAGCAGAGGGCUCUCAGGGAGGUCAAAGAAACUGUGUUACACAGGAAGCAUCUCGACAGCAGUAUCGAUUUCAUCGGGAAGCUUGUCUUUGGAUUUGAGGGGCCUUCGGUGCUUGAGGCUACUAAAGGCCCUGGCCAGCCAUUAGUAGACUAUUGGGAUUGUCUGAAGACGAUGGUGCGAGUUUUCGAGUCCCAGUGCGGAUCACUCACUCAGUAUGGCACGAAACACAUGAGGGCGUUCACAAACAUCUGCAACAGUGGCGUCUCUGAGACCGAGAUGAAGGAGGCAAGCAUCAGCGCUUGCGACAGCUACAACAUGGGUAAGUGGAGCCCGCUGGUUCUAGGGCACAGCGCCUGGUCGGCUGCACUACAGUAG
This 417-nucleotide ribosomal RNA is filed under the name Triticum aestivum (bread wheat). Its description in RNAcentral is "partial small subunit ribosomal RNA". The record is from RNAcentral. Lineage: Eukaryota; Viridiplantae; Streptophyta; Magnoliopsida; Poales; Poaceae.